AACGAACGCUGGCGGCAUGCCUAACACAUGCAAGUCGAACGAGACCUUCGGGUCUAGUGGCGCACGGGUGCGUAACGCGUGGGAACCUGCCCUUAGGUUCGGAAUAACUCCCCGAAAGGGGUGCUAAUACCGGAUAAUGUCUUCGGACCAAAGAUUUAUCGCCUUUGGAUGGGCCCGCGUUGGAUUAGCUAGUUGGUAGGGUAAAAGCCUACCAAGGCGACGAUCCAUAGCUGGUCUGAGAGGAUGAUCAGCCACACUGGGACUGAGACACGGCCCAGACAACGACGGGGAGGGGGAGUGAGAAAUAUGAGACAGGGGGAGAACGCGCGAUCAAGCAAGGCGGUGUGGGUGAUGAAGGCCUGAGGGUUAUAAUUCGCUUUUAGGGGGGGUGAUAAUGAGAGGACGGGGAGAAGGGGCCCCGGCCAACGCCGUGCCAGAGGCCGAGGUAAGAGAGGGAAGAGCAAACGUCUAACU
This 474-nucleotide ribosomal RNA is filed under the name uncultured bacterium. RNAcentral's name for it is "partial 16S ribosomal RNA". It matches the Rfam family "Bacterial small subunit ribosomal RNA", at positions 33 to 541 of the family's 1533-position model. The record is from RNAcentral.